Pelobates cultripes (western spadefoot toad) is the source of this 423-nucleotide non-coding RNA. Lineage: Eukaryota; Metazoa; Chordata; Amphibia; Anura; Pelobatidae. The record is from the annotation of a GenBank genome assembly.
GAUCUUUGAAUUUAAAGGAACCAGUCACAGACGAUCCUUCAUCUAGCAACUUCUUCUCAGACCUCAGAAGGAAAAAAACCUACCUUUCCAGUUCAUGAAACUUCUAAAUAUCUUAUUCUGGAUGAAUAGACUGAUAAGAAGCUUCCCCUUAAUGCGGGUUAUCCCGCUUAUACCCUUUUCAUACCUCAGAUGCCACUAACUAGGAUUCUGCAAUUAAAGUAGAUACAGUUGUAGUUAGACUGGCAAAGCUUACUUUUUUUUUUUUUUUUUUACCAGGCAUUAAUGCUGGUUCCUUGAGAAAUCCAAUGGACCACAGAAUGGACUUAAACCUGACCAAGGCCCAUGUGGCAGCUGGUACCAGGCUUCACCCUGCCAUAGCCCUUUAUUAUUUUCUCAGGCUUUCAAAUUAUGGAUUGAGGAUAU